AAAAUCCUAUACUACUAGCCAUGGUCAACCCCACCGUGUUCUUCAACAUUGCCGUCGACAGCGAGCCCUUGCCACGUCUCCUUCGAGCUGUUUGCAGACAAGGUUCCAAAGACAGCAGAAAAUUUUCGUGCUCUGAGCACUGGAGAGAAAGGAUUUGGUUAUAAGGGUUCCUGCUUUCACAGAAUUAUUCCAGGGUUUAUGUAUCAGGGUGGUGACUUCACAUGCCAUAAUGGCACUGGUGGCAAGUCCAUCUAUGGGGAGAAAUUUGAAGAUGAGAACUUCAUCCUAAAGCAUACAGGUCCUGGCAUCUUGUCCAUGGCAAAUGCUGGACCCAACACAAAUGGUUCCCAGUUUUUCGUCUGCACUGCCAAGACUGAGUGGUUAGAUGGCAAGCAUGUGGCCCUUGGCAAAGUGUAAGAAGGCAUGAAUAUUGUGGAGACCAUGGAGCGCUUUGGGUCCAGGAAGGGCAAGACCAGCAAGAAGAUCACCAUUGCUGACUGUGGACAGCACGAAUAAGUUUGACUUGUGUUUUAUCUUAACCACCAGACCAUUCCUUCUGUAGCUCAGGAGAGCACCCCUCCACCCCAUUUGCUCACAGUAUCCUAGAAUCUUU
Cercocebus atys (sooty mangabey) is the source of this 613-nucleotide RNA transcript. It is a transcript of the gene named peptidyl-prolyl cis-trans isomerase A pseudogene, with no coding region annotated. The transcript has a single exon. NCBI's taxonomy places the organism in Eukaryota, Metazoa, Chordata, Mammalia, Primates, Cercopithecidae. The record is from RefSeq and is a predicted model, not a curated record.